UACAGACUGCUGGCUGGGCUAGGUUGCUCUGUGCUCCCGGCUCCCAAGUGACCUGCUGACCUGCUGCGCCACACAAGCGCAUUCCCGCUGCUGCUGAGCUGCUCAGAACCAUCCGCCCAGCUUGGAGACAGUUUCUAGCUGCCUAGAGUCGAGUAGGCCUCGGCUUUCAGCAGGGGCUUCCCCUGAUCACUACUGCCGUAAAAGUAAAGCCGCAUCUCUUUCAGUGGUUGCGGUUGCGGUAGCAAGGCCGUAUACUCUCUAAGAUAAUUGCAGUCGCUUUUGUGACCUCUUUCCACUGCUGACUGACCGCUGCUGCCAAACGCUGCACGGAGUAGCUGAACGCCUGUGUCACCUGCUGGUCAAAGAGAGUUACUGCAUCUGGAGUAGAAAUCAGGGACAGAGGGCCAGGAGGAAAGCUGCUAGCGUCCAGCAGGUGGCAGCAGUUCCCAGAGGGACUGCUCUUCCAGGAACACCCUGGAUGGGGUUGCCCUCCGAGAGCCCAGCACGGCAUUCACACUCCCAGGUCCUUCUUGUUCCCGACUGCCAUUCUGGAGGGAUGGAAGACACGAGUUAAUACAGUUACCUUGUUAAACAAUAAAUGACUCUUGGCUUUGCAU
Molecule: long non-coding RNA, 617 nt
Filed under: Cricetulus griseus (Chinese hamster)
Lineage: Eukaryota; Metazoa; Chordata; Mammalia; Rodentia; Cricetidae
Description: lncRNA (ENSCGRG00015041258.1)
Source: RNAcentral